This 567-nucleotide ribosomal RNA is filed under the name Escherichia coli. RNAcentral describes it as "partial 23S ribosomal RNA". It matches the Rfam family "Bacterial large subunit ribosomal RNA", at positions 375 to 947 of the family's 2925-position model. Lineage: Bacteria; Pseudomonadati; Pseudomonadota; Gammaproteobacteria; Enterobacterales; Enterobacteriaceae. The record is from RNAcentral.
GUACACAAAAAUGCACAUAUUGUGAGCUCGAUGAGUAGGGCGGGACACGUGGUAUCCUGUCUGAAUAUGGGGGGACCAUCCUCCAAGGCUAAAUACUCCUGACUGACCGAUAGUGAACCAGUACCGUGAGGGAAAGGCGAAAAGAACCCCGGCGAGGGGAGUGAAAAAGAACCUGAAACCGUGUACGUACAAGCAGUGGGAGCCUCUUUAUGGGGUGACUGCGUACCUUUUGUAUAAUGGGUCAGCGACUUAUAUUCUGUAGCAAGGUUAACCGAAUAGGGGAGCCGAAGGGAAACCGAGUCUUAACUGGGCGUUAAGUUGCAGGGUAUAGACCCGAAACCCGGUGAUCUAGCCAUGGGCAGGUUGAAGGUUGGGUAACACUAACUGGAGGACCGAACCGACUAAUGUUGAAAAAUUAGCGGAUGACUUGUGGCUGGGGGUGAAAGGCCAAUCAAACCGGGAGAUAGCUGGUUCUCCCCGAAAGCUAUUUAGGUAGCGCCUCGUGAAUUCAUCUCCGGGGGUAGAGCACUGUUUCGGCAAGGGGGUCAUCCCGACUUACCAACCCGA